AUGAAAUUUUCACAGGGGAGGAGGAGCAGCAACAUUUUGCCCAAGUUAAGGUUACACUGGCAAUAUACCAAGCAGCCCGAAGCACUUAAUUUUCAUGAGAGAUCUGAUUACAGCAGCCUGUAUUUGAGUACAGAAAUAUGUCCUGCAGAAUCUGCAGCCCCAGUGCUGCUUCCAAGCUCUCCCCUGAGGUAUAUUAGUCAAACUCAGAAGAACACCUACAUUGCAUCCACACCAUUUGAGGUAGAUUUUAAAAUUGUCCCCCACCUGAGCACAUAAACCUAGUAACUGUUCAAUUACUUAUGCAAUUUACAUGCAUAGAUCAAUUUUGCAUUCAUAGAUGGAUGGGCAUGUGUAUUAAGG
Molecule: long non-coding RNA, 360 nt
Filed under: Anser brachyrhynchus (Pink-footed goose)
Lineage: Eukaryota; Metazoa; Chordata; Aves; Anseriformes; Anatidae
Description: lncRNA (ENSABRG00000019914.1)
Source: RNAcentral